Molecule: long non-coding RNA, 740 nt
Organism: Schistocerca gregaria
Lineage: Eukaryota; Metazoa; Arthropoda; Insecta; Orthoptera; Acrididae
Exons: 3
Source: RefSeq, a predicted model, not a curated record
CGGUGCUGUCCUGUAAAAAAGUGUACCUAUAUCGGUCGGCAUUCCCAUUGGUACUGGUUCGGCGUCAGUGGUUUGUUUUGCGUAGUGUGUUGGUUAUUUGAAGACAUGCCAUUGGACUCUCUCACAAUUCAUAUGUGUUAACAGAAGAUUUGACACUAUGGACUUUGACCAAAGCGUUAUUAACGGACACGUUACGAUAGGUACAGAGAGGAAGCAUCUCCCGGCCCAGCCAGCACCUUAUACAAAAGCAGGUGACUCGCAAGUAUCAAGCAUCGGUGGUUCAGUGGUAGAAUGCUCGCCUGCCACGCGGGCGGCCCGGGUUCGAUUCCCGGCCGAUGCAAAAAAAUUUUGCUUUUAUUCGCUUAAGCUUCUUCUUCAAGAUGGUGUUGAUUCUCCUAGCAAUUUUGUGUACUGGAGCAUGUAUUGCAUAUACAACUGAAUGGAUUGGCACUUCUGAAAGUGAUGGGUUCUGAGAGAGUGUCAUAUGAAAAUAAGGCAAUCUCACUCAAACUACAAUCAUAAAGAUGGCAUAGUUUAUGUGCAAGGCCAUGAAAAACUUAUGUGACUGCAUGACAUCUUUAAGUUGGAGUCAAUAUGGAAUCUCGAGGAAUAUGGGAGCCCAGCUUUUAAGACUCAAGCAAAUGUAUGGCAACAACAACAGCAGCAGCAGUUAUAUGUAUGCACUAGUAAAUGUACAAAUAUUUCUAAAAUGGAUUAUCAGUAAAUAAAUUUAAGAGACU